UGGUACUGGGAAGAAGCCAAGGUUGUGUGUCGAGAACUUGGUUUUACCAAAGCUGUAAAUUAUUAUUUGUACUAUGGCCAUGGGGAGCAAGUUAAAGUCUGGCUGGACGAUAUGGCGUGUACAGGCUCUGAGACCUCACUUGGAGACUGCCCUCACCCUGGAUGGGGAGUUGUGAGCUCCAACUGUAAUGGUCACACUGAAGAUGCUGGUGUUCAGUGUUCUGGUUACACAGGAAACGCCGCCAGUAAUAUACGAUUGCUUGGUGUUUCUGGUAUUGUUCAGGUGUACCAUGGUGGAAAAUGGGGAACAGUGUGUGAUGAUUCCUGGGGUUGGGAUGAUGCCAAGGUUGCGUGUAGACAACUAGGUUUCAUCAAAACUGUAUAUCCUUGGUGUUGUGGACAUGGAGAGCAAGGUAAAGUCUGGCUGGACGACAUGGUGUGUACAGGAUCAGAGGCAUCACUUAAGGACUGUCCUCACGCUGGUUGGGGAGUUGUUAGUUCUUACUGCAACAAUCACAAUGAUGAUGCUGUUGUUCAAUGUUCUGGAUCGCAAGUCCGUCUACAGGGCGGAACUUACGAAAAUGAAGGUCGCGUCGAAAUCAAAUAUGGUACCUGGGGGAAUAUUUGUAGUAAUGGAUUUGGUACAAAUGAAGCUAAUGUUGUCUGCAAAAUGCUUGGAUAUCAAGGAGCAAUAACAGCAAAAAGUUAUGAUCAACUCUCUUAUACAGCAUGGCUGAAAGAUGUUUCAUGCCAUGGAAACGAAAAUUCAACCGACGAAUGUACUCACUCUAGCUUUGCAAGCCAAUCUUGUCCCAACAGCAAAAUUGCUGGAGUCGUUUGUUAUGCAAAAAAAGGUCACAUGCACACCCUUUUAAAGCAAGAUACAAACUCAAAGCACAGCCAGAUUGGUUGAUGAAGAAGUUCUUCAACAGUUUCAACCUUAGAGUCGCUAACUUGACUCCAACUGUCUAAGAUUUCCUAAUAAAAUUCAGCUUUAUCUGAUUGCGAUGGAUAUGGGGAGCAAGG
RNAcentral lists this unclassified non-coding RNA (1025 nucleotides) under Actinia tenebrosa (Australian red waratah sea anemone). Its description in RNAcentral is "neurotrypsin-like, transcript variant X3". The record is from RNAcentral. Lineage: Eukaryota; Metazoa; Cnidaria; Anthozoa; Actiniaria; Actiniidae.